AGGUCCGUAGCUCAGUGGUAGAGCACCGGCCUUUUAAGCCGGGUGUCGAGGGUUCGAUUCCCUCCGGACCUACCA
RNAcentral lists this transfer RNA (75 nucleotides) under Candidatus Saccharimonadota bacterium. RNAcentral's name for it is "tRNA-Lys". It matches the Rfam family "tRNA". Rfam says of the family: Transfer RNA (tRNA) molecules are approximately 80 nucleotides in length. The record is from RNAcentral. Lineage: Bacteria; Candidatus Saccharimonadota.